GAGCUGCUUCCAGCAAGAUCCUCAAGGAGGGGUCCUGGGAUUCAGAUGCCCCCCUGGAACUGUAUGUGAUCAUUAGUUGCUUGGAUGGGGACAGAUCUUGCAGAAAUCUGCCAAAUCCAAAUCCUUUCUUGUGACCUUCCUUCUGUACAAACAGAAACAUGGGGAUUCCUCUCCACACCCUGCUUAAGGUUUUGCUGGGAACUCUUCUUCCUCCUUGUGGUCUUCUUCCUCAUCCUUGUUUUCGUCCUGUUCCUCCUCACAGCAGUCUACAGUGGUUGCCUGAAGCUGAUGUGGUAAAUGAACUUGAGCACUCUAUGACCACCACCACUUUAUGCUGGCACAUGUUUCUCCACCACCAGUCCCCAGCAAGUGUGCAAAUGAGGAUGUGGGGAAAAGGUACACUCAUACAUUCUUGGUGGCACUGCAAAUUGGUGCAACCAUUCUGGAAAGCAAUAUGGAGAUUCCUUAGAAAACUUGGAAUGGAACUGCCAUUUGACCCAGCUAUCCCACUCCUCAGUCUAUACCUAAAGGACUUAAGAUCAGCAUACUAUAGUGACGCAGCCACAUCAAUGUUUACAGCAGCUUAAUUCACAAUAGCUAAACUGUGGAACCAACCUAGAUGCCCUUCAAUAGAUGAAUAGAUAAAGAAACUGUGAUAUAUAUAUAUAUAUAUAUAUAUAUACACACACACACACACACACACACACACACACACACAGUGGAAUGUUACUCAGCAUUAAAAGAGAAUAAAAUUAUGACAUUUACAGGUAAAUGGAUGGACUUGGAGAAUAUAUUGCUUAGAGAAGCAAGCCAAUCCCCAAAACAGAAUACCGAAUAUUCUCUCUGAUGAUAAGUGGA
This 858-nucleotide long non-coding RNA is filed under the name Marmota monax (woodchuck). Lineage: Eukaryota; Metazoa; Chordata; Mammalia; Rodentia; Sciuridae. The record is from RNAcentral.